This 430-nucleotide ribosomal RNA is filed under the name uncultured bacterium. RNAcentral describes it as "bacterial SSU rRNA". It matches the Rfam family "Bacterial small subunit ribosomal RNA", at positions 212 to 635 of the family's 1533-position model. The record is from RNAcentral.
CGCGGGGUCGACGAGUGGCUGAUGUCUGAUUAGCUAGUUGGUAAGGUAAAAGCUUACCAAGGCGACGAUCAGUAGCUGGUCUGAGAGGACGAUCAGCCACACUGGGACUGAGACACGGCCCAGACUCCUACGGGAGGCAGCAGUGGGGAAUUUUGGACAAUGGGCGAAAGCCUGAUCCAGCCAUGCCGCGUGAGUGAAGAAGGCCUUCGGGUUGUAAAGCUCUUUCGGUCGAGAAGAAAUGUCUAUGACUAAUACUUAUAGAAAAUGACGGUAUCGACAUAAGAAGCACCGGCUAACUACGUGCCAGCAGCCGCGGUAAUACGUAGGGUGCAAGCGUUAAUCGGAAUUAUUGGGCGUAAAGGGUGCGCAGGCUGUGUUGUAAGUCAGAUGUGAAAUCCCCGGGCUUAACCUGGGAAUUGCGUUUGAACUA